Molecule: ribosomal RNA, 464 nt
Filed under: uncultured bacterium
Lineage: Bacteria
Description: partial 16S ribosomal RNA
Rfam family: Bacterial small subunit ribosomal RNA
Source: RNAcentral
CCUACGGGAGGCAGCAGUGGGGAAUAUUGCGCAAUGGGCGAAAGCCUGACGCAGCGACGCCGCGUGAGGGAUGAAGGUCUUCGGAUCGUUAACCUCUGUCAGCAGGGAAGAACGGUCACUGUGCUAAUCAGCAGUGAAUUGACGGUACCUGCAAAGGUAGCACCGGCGAACUCCGUGCCCGCAGCCGCGGUAAUACGGCGGGUGCGUGCGUUAAUCGGAAUUACUGGGCGAAAAGCGCUCGUAGGGGGUAUGUCAAUUCAAGGGGAAAGCCCCGCGCUCAACGUGGGAACUGCCUUUGAAACUGGCAAACUUGAGUGUGGGAGAGGAUAGUGGAAUUCCAGGUGUAGGAGUGAAAUCCGUAGAUAUCAGGAGGAACAUCAGUGGCGAAGGCGACUAUCUGGCACAUAACUGACGCUGAGGAGCGAAAGCGUGGGUAGCAAACAGGAUUAGAUACCCCGGUAGUC